GUAGGUGGCAAGCGUUGUCCGGGAAUUAUUGGGGCGUAAAGCGCGCGCAGGCGGUUCUUUAAGUCUGAUGUGAAAGCCCACGGGCUCAACCGUGGGAGGGUCAUUGGAAACUGGAGAACUUGAGUACAGAAGAGGAAAGCGGAAUUCCACGUGUAGCGGUGAAAUGCGUAGAGAUGUGGAGGAACACCAGUGGCGAAGGCGGCUUUCUGGUCUGUAACUGAUGCUGAGGCGCGAAAGCGUGGGGAGCAAACAGGAUUAGAUACCCUGGUAGUCCACGCCGUAAACGAUGAGUGCUAAGUGUUAGGGGGUUUCCGCCCCUUAGUGCUGCAGCUAACGCAUUAAGCACUCCGCCUGGGGAGUACGGCCGCAAAGGCUGA
RNAcentral lists this ribosomal RNA (377 nucleotides) under uncultured organism. RNAcentral describes it as "partial 16S ribosomal RNA". It matches the Rfam family "Bacterial small subunit ribosomal RNA", at positions 527 to 897 of the family's 1533-position model. The record is from RNAcentral.